Molecule: long non-coding RNA, 1078 nt
Filed under: Helianthus annuus (common sunflower)
Lineage: Eukaryota; Viridiplantae; Streptophyta; Magnoliopsida; Asterales; Asteraceae
Source: RNAcentral
AUGUCAUACUUCCCCUAAAAUUUAAUUCCAUCUAAAAAUUUUCCAGUCUAAACCCAAGCCCGCCUUUCAAUUCCUAUUGCCCCCAAAUUCACUAUCUUCAACGUUUUUUUGGUUUUCUUCUAUUUCUAUAUCUAUCCCUCUCGAUCCGAUCUAGACCCCCGUUCUCUAAAACGACCGACGAAACUGCAUCUGCCAUGUUCUCGACAACCAUAGAAUCCUUUCGUUCCUGUUCAUCAUCUCUGUUAGCCUAUUUUGAACUGUGAGUUUUUGCCCUAAUUUGAGUUUUGGGAAAAAAAAAACUGAUGGCAUGGAGUUCUAGAUUGGGUGUGAUCUUGUGGUUUCUGCUGCAAUUCCACUUGCGUAUGGAACAUCUAAUCCCUCCUUGAUUCGUAUAGCAAACUAGACUCUGGUCAGGUCAUUGUAAAUACGGUACAAAUCUUACAAAGCAGUUAACAAACUAUUUGCGUGGCGUUCUUGAUAGCUGUGGAAGUGUAAGAAUUUAUUUCUCAAGGAGGACUCCAGAUAAGGUUGCUAAUUUCGUGCGGAAAGAACUUGGAGACCAUCCAAAAAUCUAUGUAUAUGAUGGUGAAGAACCAAAUCCUCACAUUGGACAUCUAGCUUGGGCAGAUGCUUUCAUUGUCACAACCGAUUCAAUCAGCAUGUUGAGUGAAGCCUGCAGCACUGGGUCCACAAUAAGUGGUAACGAGAACAGAGGAAAAUUUCCGAUGACCACAACACCACAAUUGAUUUCUUGCCAUUUUCCGGCUCAAAACGCAGGAACCUCUACUAUCAUCUUAGAAAGUAUUUGGUGUAAAUGAGCCCUUUCUACCACUUCAAGGACCUUUACUUCUUAACUUGACUUGAGUUCAAGUUAUCCGACUAAGUUUGGAAAGUAUUUGACUAAGUAUCUGAUGAAGAAGCGGAUGAUGACACGGAUAUGACAUACAUUUAUUACAUUUUAUAUGCUAGGUAGUUUUAUGACGUGUUUGUGAAUUGUGACUUAAAACGAACCCGGAUUGUGACGUUUAUGCUUAUGUUUUUUUUUGAAAGGCAACCAUUUAUGCUUACGUUUAUGCUU